Molecule: unclassified non-coding RNA, 495 nt
Filed under: uncultured Glomus
Lineage: Eukaryota; Fungi; Glomeromycota; Glomeromycetes; Glomerales; Glomeraceae
Also listed under: 1 other name
Description: SSU rRNA
Rfam family: Eukaryotic small subunit ribosomal RNA
Source: RNAcentral
AGCAGCCGCGGUAAUUCCAGCUCCAAUAGCGUAUAUUAAAGUUGUUGCAGUUAAAAAGCUCGUAGUUGAAUUUCGGGAUUGACGUGAUGGUCGUGCCUUACGGGGUAUGAACUGUUGCAGUCAAUUUCUCACCUUCUGGAGAAAUAUGAUGUCCUUAAUUGGGUGUCAUAUGGAACCAGAACUUUUACCUUGAAAAAAUUAGAGUGUUUAAAGCAGGCUUAUUGCUCGAAUACAUUAGCAUGGAAUAAUAAAAUAGGACGGCAUGGUUCUAUUUUGUUGGUUUCUAGGAUCACCGUAAUGAUUAAUAGGGAUAGUUGGGGGCAUUAGUAUUCAAUUGUCAGAGGUGAAAUUCUUGGAUUUAUUGAAGACUAACUACUGCGAAAGCAUUUGCCAAGGAUGUUUUCAUUAAUCAAGAACGAAAGUUAGGGGAUCGAAGACGAUCAGAUACCGUCGUAGUCUUAACCAUAAACUAUGCCGACUAGGAAUCAGACGAUG